AGAUAGAAACCGACCUGGCUCACACCGGUUUAAACUCAGAUCAUGUAAAAUUUUAAAGGUCGAACAGACCUAACCUACCAGCUACUGCACCAGCAAUAAAUUUUAAUCCAACAUCGAGGUCGCAAUCUUUUCUUUUGAUAAGAACUCUAAGAAAAAUCACGCUGUUAUCCCUAAGGUAAUUUAAUCUUUUAACCUAAAUCCUAGGAUCAUAAACUUACACAUCAGUAUAAUAAUAAAGAAAAGUUAAAUAAAUUUUCCUAUCACCCCAACAAAAUAAAUAAAAUUAAAUCCAAACCAAAAAACCUCAAAUCUAAACAUAUAUUUAUUUAUAAAACUCUAUAGGGUCUUCUCGUCUUCUAUAAAAAUUUAAGCUUUUUAACUUAAAAAUAAAAUUCUAAUCAAUUUUCCUAGAGACAGCUACUUUUUCAUCAAACCCUUCAUACAAGCUUCCAAUUAAAAAACUAAUGAUUAUGCUACCUUUGCACGGUCAAAAUACCGCGGCCAUUUAAUCUCUCUUCAGUGGGCAGGUCAGACUUGAAAUAAUAAUCAACAAGCCAUGUUUUUAAUAAC
RNAcentral lists this ribosomal RNA (570 nucleotides) under Trigonopterus aeneomicans. RNAcentral describes it as "partial 16S ribosomal RNA". Lineage: Eukaryota; Metazoa; Arthropoda; Insecta; Coleoptera; Curculionidae. The record is from RNAcentral.